GUGUUGGGAGCAAUGCUACAUAAUUCUAGGGAUAAAUCAUUUGGUUAGCCUAGUUCUCUUGCCUACAGCCCAGCUACAGAAUAACUCCAGUUUGGCCUCCGGUCACAACUGAGACUUCAGUGAUCCAGUGAUGCUGUGAUUCUCCAGGACAAGAAACAUCCUGGGAGAACAAACAUCUGCUCAGUUCCUCAUUGUUCUUGGACUGAUUAACAUCUCGUUUACCGGAGAUGUACUGAACUCUCUGCAAGCCUUCCGUUACACCUUGUUUAUCCCAAUGUGAACUAUUGAACUCUCUGCAAGUCAUUUGUUACAUUUGUUUCUCCGGAUGUACUGAAUAAAAGGUGUGGUAAGCUGGGGGCUUUGUCUUUGCUGCCCAGAGCAGCACUCAUCAGAACCAAAGCUCAGCUUCUUCUCAGUCUCAUUUUUCUACCUUUCCUGUAAUUCGCUGUGUGCUGCCGUGGCUUGCAGGAGACCAGGACUAACUGCAGAGGUUCUGGUAAUGUCCCCUUCCCCUGUCCCCUACAUUUGGUGCCCAACGUGGAUGUGAAUCGGAUCCAGGGGUGAACUCACCUGUGAGACAAACUUGGAGUAAGAGAGACAGCACACGGAUCUCCCAGGACGAUUUCCGGACUAGGACGAGGGACACCAGUGUUUUUCAUCUUGUUUGCUGAAGGCAGAGGUAUUCUCAUAAUCUGAAGAUCUUCUUUAAAGAAACCUGCAUAAAUCUCUCCUAUGGUACAAUAAGGAUGGAAGAAAUGAAAAGAAGCUUCCAUAGAGUCUUGUAUCCUGUACAACCUUGAAGAUAUGGAGGUUUCACUUUAAUCACAAAAUAAGGAAAAAGGAGCCCUACUAUAGCUGAGGAACAGCCUGUGAUUUAUGAAGGCACUAGGAGAAUAUUGGCUCUUCUGAAAUACACUUCCUCCAAUGAACUGCUUGUACCGUUGAUCCCAUUGUGAUACCUGCUUAGAACAAGCAACCACCACAAUUGUGUAUAUCUUCAACAAAAUGCUGAAAAGAAACACUUUCUUGUCUUUCAAUUGAAUAUUUUUAUUUCAUAUAAUGCUAGUAGAGAACAAAUAAACCUAUACUAUUGAUUUAUUUAUCAUGAAAUAUUUCAUUAUAUACAUUGUGAUGUGUUAUGUGUUUUUUUCUUUAAUUAGAAAACUAAUAUUAUUACUUCUUAAGUUUAGAAAUACUACCUUAGAAAUUUAUGCUUCAAGAUUCUGGAUUUAUGUACAAAAUACCCUAAAAAGGAACUAUAUUCCUGAGAUGUUCACAAACAAUGCAUUAAAUAAAUCAGAAUGAAUAUUUGAGUUUAUUCUUCGAGGGGGCAAAAUAAAAUAAAUAUUUCAAUCUUACAUGACUUGGAAAUAAAUGACUAAAGAAGUGUGGCUUUCUGGGAGGAGUGUAUAGGUACAUUUACCCUUCCAUUCAUCAGAUAUGAUUUCUUUUUUUUUAAAUUAGUUUUAUUGGUACAUUUUAGGUAUAUAAUAUAAUGACAUUCAUCAUUGGAAAUUUGCACCUCUACAUAAUCUCUUGAUUCUUACUUUUUCCCCAUUCCCCUGCCCUUCUUUCAACCCCUCCACCCCUCCCUAUUUACAAAGACUUUCCAUUUUUUCAUUUUCUCAUAUUAAUUUCAUUCCCUUCUUUCCUUUUCCCUGCCCCUCCCACUUCCCAUUCCCCUUUGCACCUUUUCUUCCUAUUUCACAUUAUCUAUUAUACCUUUUAGUCUUUAUUUAUGCCUUCAGUUUCUCACACUAGAAAAACUAUUCAGUAUUUACACGUGUGUGUCCUAUUCAUUUCACUUAGGACUACCACCUCAAUGUGCAUCCAUUUAGCAAUAAAUGUCUCUAAUUUCCAUUUUUUAUGGCUGAGUAGUACUCCAUUUAUAAAAAACCCCACAUUUUUUAUGUGCAUCCAUCUUCAUAGCAGCACAAUUUGUAAUAGCUAAAACUUGGAAGCAGCCCAAUUACCAAUCAACUGGAGACUGGAUAAAGAAGAUCAGAUAUGAUUUCUGUUAGCUCACUCAAUGCAUCCUAGACACUACACCCUAGACUUAAUGGAUGAGUCUCUCUUUACUUUACUACCAAUUCCUAAUUUUUCAUUGAAUUAUUAAUGGGUCUAGUGGUUGUGAACCUUUUUUAUUGGUUUUGUUUGUCUUUGGUUUACGAGGUUGGAGUGGAGCAGGAGGAGCAAUGAAUAGUAGAAUAUAUAAGGGCAAUAUUGUGUUGAAGUGAUUCAUAAGCCCUCUUUCAUCAAAUGCUAUUGGAAUUGAAUAAUGAAGGCUUGUGAGCUAGAAAAAUGUAAAAUGAAAAUUUUAUUUUCAUAGUGUAUGAAAACAAGGUUGUACAAAAUAUUCUUAUAAUGAAAAAUUUAAGGAUGUGAUAAAUGCCCGACAUAAAGUGGAAAAGACUAUUAUAAUUUCAAAGUACUCUGAUCAUCUAUGUUAAAGAAGCUUUCUUGGAAAGACAUGAGCAUCUUGUUGGAGUAGUAUCAUAACAAGGUAAUACCCUCAGUACAUGAGGUAAAAGGACCCAAGUUACCCAAGUUAUUUAGAUGAAUGCAUCAAGAGUUAUCAUGGUUGGAGUGUCUCUGAGGAGUAAGGAAGAACAAUUGUCUACUCUGAUGUUUUCUUUUUCUCAUUGUGUAAGAAUAAAGAAGAAGCUGGAAAGAUUGCUGGUGAAUCAAUAUAUUCGUGGAGAAAUGAGUCUAGUUAAAACAAGAAACUUAAGAAAAUGUUCACAAAUGACGCCUUGGAGAACUUUGCUCAUAAAUGACUGUGAGUCCAGGGAGGAUACUGGAAGGCAGACUACUGUGACAAAGUAUGUUAGGCAAUAAGGGUGACCUGAAAAUCUUACAGUUAUGAUUUGACAAACAGAAUUAAAUAGCAGAGCUGAGAUGAGGCCCACUAAUCUCUAGGUAGAUAGUGAAGCUGAGACUACACUUAGUGUUGUUGGAAGAACGUUGAAAUGGUGAGAUCUCUCCAGACAGUAUGAUUCUCAGACUUUCUUAUGUCCUACUCAUGACACUGUGGAAGUUGCAGAGAGGAACUUCAUCCAGAGAGCAUAAGGACUUCCGUGACUGCCUCUUCAAUUCUGCUAUCGGAGGCAGUCUAGGGGAGGUGUGGUCUUAUCCACGUAUCUGUUCCUCCUUCACUCACUGAAACACAUUUAUAAAACUGGGCCUGGGAUUUAGCUCAGUGGUUCUGCUGCCUGCCUCGCAAGGACAAGGUCCCAAGCUCGAUCCCUGGUACCAAAAACAAAACAAAACAAAACAAAAAAACUACCCUAACAAUUUCAAGAAAACAACCUUAUGUUAAUUUUCAACACAGUCCAAUCUUUCAUGGUACUGGCAGCAAAAUAUUUGUUUUAGCUAAGGAAAAAUUAAUAAGUCUUUCUGGCAGCAGGAGUAUAUUAUUUAGGGUACUCUAGGGAAACAGAGUCAAUUGAAUAUAUAUGUGUGAUUAUGCACUGGAAUUCAUUAACUAGGCUUACAGGAUCAGAAAUGAGAGAGCCCACAAUGGCAUUUGUGGGACCAGACGCAAGAGAGUCCGCAAUAGUCACUUGAACAUUACAGACCCAGAAGAUACAGGAGAUGCUUGGCCAAGAAGGUGGAGGCCACAGGACAGGAGGAUGCAAGGAUACAGCACUUGUCCAAGUUUGAAGGCCUAGAAGCUCCCUGGAUAGUUACCAAUAUGAGUCUGUGUUAGAAAGCUAAAGAAACUGCAGAUCUGGAUACUGAUGUCCAGUGGCAACAGCAGCAGAGUAUACACACAAUUAGGAAGACGGAAGUUCUUCAAACUGUGGACAGUUCCUUGUUUUCUCCUCUUUUUAUUCCAUCCUGGCUACAACCCCAUUUGUUAGUGCCACCUACAUCAGGAAUGAGUCUUCCUCCCUGGGUUGACUGGUUUAUAUAUCAGUCACCCAUUCACAGUUCUGUUAGAUAAUGUGUAGGAUUUCUGACCCCAGAGAAUGCAAGAUGUACUUAGGUAUAAUAAAAUGGAGCAGUUGACCGUUCCAAGGAAUAAUACGUGUAAUUCUAUUGUUUCAAAAACACAUCAUCUAUUGAAGAAUGAGUGAGAGAAGCUCACUACGAUGAUUAUAAUAAAAAUAUAAUGGUACUUCUUUUUAAAAGGACAGUAUAAGGUAAUUUACCAUGUAUACAUCACCUGUGACCCCAACGUUUUAAAUUUUAUGCUCUGUUCAAUGGCAGUAGCAGGGAGUCUGGAGGGAGAAUUCUCUCACAGAUUUACAAACUACCAAAAUGUUUAAACUUAACUAAAUAAAAGACUAUUUGCUAGCCUAGAGUUGUUUUAAGACAAAUUCUUUAGUACCACCUCAACUCUUCAGCAGAGUGUAAUAUUUAAAUGUAAUUUUAUGAGGUCUGGUGUGCCCACAAUAUGUGAAAACAAUGAUUAGUUUUUAUAGAGUUCCUGCAACAUUGCAUUUAAUGAAAGCAAUGAUGGUGAGCUCCUAUUUACCUUUGUACAAGGUUUCUUAAUUUAGCACUGUACCUGAAUAUGUGUGGUAGAGUGCAAGUUUUGCUUCUAUAGUGUCUUAAAAUAUAUUUUAAAUAUGGCCCACCUAAAUGGGCCAUUUUAAAUAUGGGCCAUUUUAAAUAUGGCCCAAGUAAAUGAAAAUAGAAAAAACAAGUGAUCACCUUCAGUACCAUCAGAAAAAAAGUCAAAUGUUACUUAAACAAACAGUGAGAAAUGUGAAAUAGAUAAAUUCUGCUGUAAUACACAGUUUCUUAUGAUGGCUUUUUAGAUCCAAUAUCUCUUGGAGAUCUAAAGUCAGUUUUCAGUUGCAGUUUAAAAGACUGUAAAAAUAGAGGAUUUAUGAUUAUAUCAUAAAGGAUAUCCUAGAGUAUUUAAUAUGAAAUAUUUAAUAUGAAAAUUCUCCAGCUCUCAGGAGCAGCAAUUUUCAGCUCUAUGUUCCAAGUGGAACAUGUUGUCAUCUCCUGAAGCAUUGUUUAUUAUGGUGCUGAGUGUUGGUGUCCUUGGAAUCAGUGUGGAAGUGUGAAAAGAAGUAAAUCUGUUAUCAAGGACAGCUGGAUUUCUUGGGUCAAGGUUUAAAGAUCAGAGCUUUCUACUCUUUUUAAAUAUUUCAUGACUGAUUUCUAGUUUUAGGCAUUCAAAAUAACUCCAAAUGAUGUCAUCAUUUUCUCAGUAGAUUGAGGCUAUCACUAGAAGUUACUGCAACAGAAACAGUCCCUCAUGAUUGGCAAGUUGGUAAGAAUUAGAGGAGACUAUUCAUGCCAGCAAACACAGGACAAUCAUAAGUUUUUGAAAUUAGACAGAUGAAGUUUGUAAUCUGUUGUUGCAAUAUACCACUUGUGUAAGUGAAUUUUAACCCUACCUAUGACAAUUGGGAGAUGAUACCUGUGAAAUAAGUGGCAUGAAUUUUGUAAUGAAAUAAUUUGUUGAUUGUGCAAUUGUGUGAUACGGUUUACAUGUAGAUGGCCCCCUAAAGUCUCACGAGAUCAUAGGUGGGACCUUUGUUUUCCAGGGUUUUUUUUUGUUUUUUCUUGGUUGGGGGUACUGGGGAUCGAACUCAGGUCCUUGUGCUUGCACAGCAGUUGGAGAAACCACUGAGCUAAAUCCCCGGCCCCAUAGGCGGGACAUUUGGAAAGUGAUUGAAUUACAGUUGAGUUGCUGCUUGUAGGUAGAACCUGGUUGGGAGAGGUGGGUCACCAUAAGCAUGACAAAGAAUGUUAUAUCUCCCUUCCAAGCUCUUCAUUUUGUUUUCUGCUUCAUGUCUGCCAUGAGGUAAGUAGCUCUCCUCUGCCAUGUGCCUGUGUCAUGUCAUUCUGUCUUGGAACCAGCCACUAUGAACUGAAGCACAAGCCAAAAUAAACCUUUGCUCCUAUAAGUUUUGGGUAUUAAGUAUUGUAUCUCAGCCAUAAAGAGGGAAGUAACUAAGAUUUUGAUACCAAAGAAGUAGGAUCAUUGCUGUGACACUACUUGUCCUGUGGUUCAGAAACAUUUGGAGGUUGUUUGAGGGAGGAGUUUGGAAAUAUUUGAAGAUACCAUCUGGAGAACCAGACUGAAAAUGCUGCAAACUGAUCAUGAUAGGAGAUUCUGGUCAGAUUUCAGAAGAUCAUAAUGCUGAUAGAAGUCGGUAUAGUAAAGAUGAGGUUCAGGAGGUUUCAGUUGGGAACAAGGACUAUAUUGGCAGUAGUACUCCAGACCAUGUGUGUUACACUUUGGCAGAAAAUUUGUCUACAUUUUACUCAGAGUAAGGGCAGUAGAGUAAUCUGGUGGAGAAAAUUUCAAAGCAGCCUAAUAUUAGGGCUGUGAUAUGUAUACUAUUAGGUGACUUUAGCCAGUCCUAGUUGGAAAACCAGGAGCAAAAAGCCCACUUUUAAAGUUUUCAGUUUUUCCAGAAAAAAAACACCUACAAAGUUGUAGCAGAGGAAAGCAUUGUUGCUGAAAUAAUUAGCAGUGAAUAGAAGCCAAGUAUUUUGAAUCAUGAUAGGAAAAAUACUUUGAGGGCACGUGAAGAAUCAGCAAGGGCCCAACCUUCCCAAUUACAAAAUUGCAAAAGUUAAAAACUUUGCUUUAAAAAGGGGGUCCAAGGUUGCAUGCUUCAGAAGGGCAGCUGGGUAGGGAAUUUGUUCCUCAGGAUUUGACUCAUAGUGUUCAGCCAUCCAGGUAUUCACAGGUCCCUGCUACCAUGAUAUAAGGGAUCCUGGCUACUGCUCAAGCUGAUGCAGACCUUGGCAUAAUCCACACGAUUCUGGUUAUACAGGAAUGCAGAGUGCAAAUCUUCUGCGUUUGAGGAGGCAUUGAGCCAGAUUUCAGAAGGCCUAGAAGGCCAGGCAGUGUGCCCCUGAGAAGGCAGUGCUUGAAGCUGGUGAGAGUGAAACUGAGUGUGCAAUAAAGACCCCAGAGAGUUGGAGGAACCAGAAACAUGGAACAUCUGAGGAAAGCCACUGCAUGAAGCAAAGACACCCCAAGAGAAAAGCUAUUAGAGCUUUAACCACCAAGGAUACUGCAGGGGUAGGGCCGUCCAAGCUAUUUGAAGUUCACAUCUCAGCAUAGUUUUCUCUGGGUUCUAGAUAUGGAGCUACAGGAUUUAAUGUUCUCCCUGUUGAUUUUCAGUCUUGCUUUGGUUCCGUUGAUUUCUAUUCCCACAUUUCUCCUUUUUGGAAUGAGAAUGUGUACCUUAUGCAUUGUAUGCCAGCAGUGUUUAACUUCUUUUGGGUAUUUACUGUGGCUUACAGCUAAGAGUUUCCCUUCAGUCUCAGAGGAUACCUUGGACUUGGCCUUUUCAGCAAUGCUGGGAUGGUUAGGAAUUUGGCAACUGUUAGAAACAGACUAAAGGAAAUUUGCAUAAAUAUAUAUGCAUGAAUCUUUGGGGAUUAGGGAUGGAAUUUUAUGAUUUAUGUCUAGAAGUCCCAUAAUAUUGUAGGUGGACUUUAAGGAAGGUGAUUAGACUAUAGGGGUAUUAUAGGUGAAGUGUAUUAGGAGGUGGGGCUUGGUUAGAAAAGACAAAUCACUGUAGAUAUGACCUGGAAGGCGAUAUCUCCCUUCCAAGCUCUUCUCACAGUUCUGUGCUUCCUAGAUGCCAUGAGAUAAGCAGCUUGGCUCCUCCUAGCCCCUUCAACUAUGCUGUUAUGACAUCAAGACAGCUGAGUAUGUACUGCAACCUUUACAAAUGGUGAGCCAAAGUAAACCUUUGGUCAUUUACUUUGUGGGUGUGAGGUAUUGUCUCUAAGCCAUAAGAAAAGUGACUACGGCAUGUACCACCCUUAAAACAGGCAGGCAUACAGUAAAGGGGAAAAAAAACCCUCACUUAUUCAGUGAAAGAAGAAUCUGUGGGAAAAAAACAAGAGUGAAUAUAUUUUAUGAUACUAAUUAAUGUUGGUUAUGAAAUAAUGAUCAAUAUCAUUAACAUAAAAACAUUAAAUCUAAAGAAUGUUCAUAGUAUACAUAAUUAAAACAGUGUCACUGGGUUUGGCAAUCUAUAAGUCAUUGAUAAAUUUGGAAUGACCAUAUUACUAUAUGAAUGAAAUACAGACAUUUGGAUGUGUAAAUUAAAAUAGAAUUUAAAUUUUACUUUAAGAGGGAUGAUCAGUGGAGUUAUGCAGAAAUGUUUCUUGUUCUUUUGAUGAGACCUAAGUAUACGUACAGACAGAUUACAAGGAGCAAAUUGAUGAAUUAAAAAUACUGAUGAAAUCAGACAUCAUAAUUACAGUAAAGGCCCAUAGAAUGUGAUAGAAGAGUAGCAGUGGAGGAGCAUGGAAGGCACUUGCACUUGAAUAGAUCAAAGAAAUACAAUGUUGUUGAGAUGUAGAAUAGGUCAUUCAUACAAAAGAGAGCAAAUGAUUGUGAUAGUGGCAGGAUCAUGAAACAAGAAUUUACUAGCCAUGUACUAAUCAUUUCCCUGAUGAAAGGAAAGCAGAUUUUAUUUAUCUGUGAGACUGAUAAAUAAAAAAAAUAUAUCAGAUGGGAAACAAGGAUCUUGUUCUGAGUAGGGACAUGCAAUGGUCUAAAGGCAGUAUCUUUAUGUGACUUUAGAUGUAAGAGGAUGAACAAGUUGCACUGCAGAUCUGCCAUGGUGAGUUAACUUUAAAAAGAGACAGAAUAAGGUCAUGAUGUGAGAUUGGAGGUAGGCAAAGACCUGGUGAAUAUACAUAACGAUUAAAAGGGGUUUAUUAGUAACAAAUCAUACUUUCCACAAGGAAACGGGGACUGAUGCGAAGGUGGGGAUAGUAGACAGUGAAUUAGAAACAUAAAAAUAUGAGGAGAGAGAGAGAGAGGCAGAGAGAAUGAAAGAACAGAAAUUCCCAUUUGGGCUAUAUUUGGAUAUUGACCAAAGUUAUACAAAGUUAUAAAGGAUGCAAUAAUUUUCCACUGAAUAAAACCAAAAAUAUGCUUCAUCAAAAGCACAGGCUGAGACUUCAGGAAAAAAGCCCUUACAGAGG
Molecule: long non-coding RNA, 8928 nt
Filed under: Heterocephalus glaber (naked mole-rat)
Lineage: Eukaryota; Metazoa; Chordata; Mammalia; Rodentia; Bathyergidae
Description: lncRNA (ENSHGLG00100048553.1)
Source: RNAcentral